AAGCUUACUUUUACUUGUGGGACGAGGUACAAACAUGUGUGCUAUAAUUACUAAUAAGUCUGCCCAAGGAUGAUGUCUUGGUUAGGUUAUCCACCUUUAUCCUAACUUUGGAUUGAAUAUUGCUACUAAAAAAUACAAUCAGCACAGUGACUUUUGCAGUAAUCAUUGAUUAAUUGUUUUAUUUCUUGACCAGGCCCUCCAUAUCCUGAUGGACCAUUCAUCGUCUGCGGGUGAACAGUCCACUUAAACAAGUUGGGCCUUAGGCGAAUAAUACUCUGUAUUUUGUCCAAUCCACUACUUUUUCUCAUGGAUAAUGAAAUUCUUACUUUAAUCCAAUCCACUACUUUUUCUAAGUGACUUUUGCCCACCUUUGAUCCUAACACAAAUGCAGUUAUAAUUUAUAUGUAUAAUAUGCUUUACUGUAUACUCUAAUAUAUAAGUUGAUUUUUUGUUUUGUUAAAUUCUUGCUUCAGCUUCACUAAUUGUGAACUUAUAAUCAUGUGUAGCUAAAUCAUUUGGUUGUACACUAAUUGCUUCAGCUGUACAGGAAGCUACAAAAAAACGAAAAAAAAAAAAAAAAAAAAAA
This 586-nucleotide long non-coding RNA is filed under the name Trifolium pratense (red clover). RNAcentral's name for it is "long non-coding RNA (TPRA_LNC010451)". Lineage: Eukaryota; Viridiplantae; Streptophyta; Magnoliopsida; Fabales; Fabaceae. The record is from RNAcentral.